CUGAGUUUUGGGUGUUCUCUUUUGACGCCCGAUCUCCCACCCUUUGUUUAACUACAAUUGUUGCUUUGGCAGGACUGUCUUCUUUUCUUUCGGGGGGAGAGACUGCCGGAGGUGUGAUGUCACGCCUCUGGAUUGUUUGCCUGCCAGUAGCCAACUUCAAAUUCUUUUUUAAUUAUGUCGUCUGAUGCUUUAAAUAAAUUUUAUUUA
Molecule: unclassified non-coding RNA, 207 nt
Filed under: uncultured fungus
Lineage: Eukaryota; Fungi
Description: sequence contains ITS1, 5.8S rRNA gene
Source: RNAcentral